CCCUGGUAGUCCACGCUGUAAACGAUGAGUACUAGGUGUCGGGGGUUACCCCCCUCGGUGCCGCAGCUAACGCAUUAAGUACUCCGCCUGGGAAGUACGCUCGCAAGCGUGAAACUCAAAGGAAUUGACGGGGACCCGCCCAAGUAGCGGAGCAUGUGGUUUAAUUCGAAGCAACGCGAAGAACCUUACCUAAGCUUGACAUCCCAAUGACAUCUCCUUAAUCGGAGAGUUCCCUUCGGGGCCAUUGGUGACAGGUGGUGCAUGGUU
This 267-nucleotide ribosomal RNA is filed under the name Clostridioides difficile. RNAcentral's name for it is "partial 16S ribosomal RNA". It matches the Rfam family "Bacterial small subunit ribosomal RNA", at positions 785 to 1050 of the family's 1533-position model. Lineage: Bacteria; Bacillati; Bacillota; Clostridia; Peptostreptococcales; Peptostreptococcaceae. The record is from RNAcentral.